RNAcentral lists this ribosomal RNA (468 nucleotides) under uncultured bacterium. Its description in RNAcentral is "partial 16S ribosomal RNA". It matches the Rfam family "Bacterial small subunit ribosomal RNA", at positions 28 to 507 of the family's 1533-position model. The record is from RNAcentral.
GACGAACGCUGGCGGCGUGCUUAACACAUGCAAGUCGAACGGAAAGGCCCUGCUUUUGUGGGGUGCUCGAGUGGCGAACGGGUGAGUAACACGUGAGUAACCUGCCCUUGACUUUGGGAUAACUUCAGGAAACUGGGGCUAAUCCCGGAUAGGAGCUCCUGCUGCAUGGUGGGGGUUGGAAAGUUUCGGCGGUUGGGGAUGGACUCGCGGCUUAUCAGCUUGUUGGUGGGGUAGUGGCUUACCAAGGCUUUGACGGGUAGCCGGCCUGAGAGGGUGACCGGCCACAUUGGGACUGAGAUACGGCCCAGACUCCUACGGGAGGCAGCAGUGGGGAAUAUUGCACAAUGGGCGGAGGCCUGAUGCAGCAACGCCGCGUGCGGGAUGACGGCCUUCGGGUUGUAAACCGCUUUCGCCUGUGACGAAGCGUGAGUGACGGUAAUGGGUAAAGAAGCACCGGCUAACUACGUG